This 369-nucleotide ribosomal RNA is filed under the name uncultured bacterium. RNAcentral's name for it is "partial 16S ribosomal RNA". It matches the Rfam family "Bacterial small subunit ribosomal RNA", at positions 338 to 705 of the family's 1533-position model. The record is from RNAcentral.
CCUACGGGUGGCAGCAGUGAGGAAUAUUGGUCAAUGGGCGGAAGCCUGAACCAGCCAAGUAGCGUGCGGGAUGAAGGCCCUACGGGUCGUAAACCGCUUUUGCACGGGGAUAACACCCUCCACUUGUGGAGGUCUGCAGGUACCGUGCGAAUAAGGGCCGGCUAAUUCCGUGCCAGCAGCCGCGGUAAUACGGAAGGCCCGAGCGUUAUCCGGAUUCAUUGGGCUUAAAGGGAGCGUAGGCGGGCGUUCAAGUCAGCUGUAAAAUUGCGCGGCUCAACCGCGCCCCGAAGUUGAGAAUGGCAGCCGUGAGUACAGAAGAGGAAGGCGGAAUUCGUGGUGGAGCGGGGAAAUGCUUAGAGAUGACGAGGA